UAACACAUGCAAGUCGAACGGAAAGGCCCUGCUUGCAGGGUACUCGAGUGGCGAACGGGUGAGUAACACGUGGGUGAUCUGCCCUGCACUUCGGGAUAAGCUUGGGAAACUGGGUCUAAUACCGGAUAGGAGCCAUCUUUAAUGUGGUGGUUGGAAAGUUUUUUCGGUGUAGGAUGAGCUCGCGGCCUAUCAGCUUGUUGGUGGGGUAAUGGCCUACCAAGGCGGCGACGGGUAGCCGGCCUGAGAGGGUGUACGGCCACAUUGGGACUGAGAUACGGCCCAGACUCCUACGGGAGGCAGCAGUGGGGAAUAUUGCACAAUGGGCGCAAGCCUGAUGCAGCGACGCCGCGUGGGGGGUGAAGGCCUUCGGGUUGUAAACUCCUUUCGCUAGGGACGAAGCUUUUUGUGACGGUACCUAGAUAAGAAGCACCGGCUAACUACGUGCCAGCAGCCGCGGUAAUACGUAGGGUGCGAGCGUUGUCCGGAAUUACUGGGCGUAAAGGGCUCGUAGGUGGUUUGUCGCGUCGUCUGUGAAAUUCUGGGGCUUAACUCCGGGCGUGCAGGCGAUACGGGCAUAACUUGAGUGCUGUAGGGGUAACCGGAAUUCCAAGUGUAGCGGUGGAAUGCGCAGAUAUUUGGAGGACACCAGCGGCGAAGGCGAUUUUCUGGUCUAACAUUGACGCUGAGGCUCGAAAGCGUGGGGAGCGAACAGGAUUAG
RNAcentral lists this ribosomal RNA (718 nucleotides) under uncultured Actinomycetales bacterium. RNAcentral describes it as "bacterial SSU rRNA". It matches the Rfam family "Bacterial small subunit ribosomal RNA", at positions 49 to 781 of the family's 1533-position model. The record is from RNAcentral. Lineage: Bacteria; Bacillati; Actinomycetota; Actinomycetes; Actinomycetales.